GAUCCUGGCUCAGGAUGAACGCUAGCUACAGGCUUAACACAUGCAGGUCGAGGGGCAGCAUGGUCUUAGCUUGCUAAGGCCGAUGGCGACCGGCGCACGGGUGAGUAACACGUAUCCAACCUGCCGUCUACUCUUGGACAGCCUUCUGAAAGGAAGAUUAAUACAAGAUGGCAUCAUGAGUCCACAUGUUCACAUGAUUAAAGGUACUCCGGUAGACGAUGGGGA
Molecule: ribosomal RNA, 225 nt
Filed under: uncultured bacterium
Lineage: Bacteria
Description: partial 16S ribosomal RNA
Rfam family: Bacterial small subunit ribosomal RNA
Source: RNAcentral